GGCUUCGUGGUGUAACGGUUAACACACUUGGUGCGUAUUCAAGAGGUCUAGGUUCGAGUCCCGGUGAGGGUA
Molecule: transfer RNA, 72 nt
Filed under: Stegodyphus mimosarum
Lineage: Eukaryota; Metazoa; Arthropoda; Arachnida; Araneae; Eresidae
Rfam family: tRNA
About the family: Transfer RNA (tRNA) molecules are approximately 80 nucleotides in length.
Source: Rfam by way of RNAcentral